Molecule: transfer RNA, 80 nt
Filed under: Alteromonas mediterranea
Lineage: Bacteria; Pseudomonadati; Pseudomonadota; Gammaproteobacteria; Alteromonadales; Alteromonadaceae
Description: tRNA-Arg
Rfam family: tRNA
About the family: Transfer RNA (tRNA) molecules are approximately 80 nucleotides in length.
Source: RNAcentral
GCACCGAUAGUUCAAUUGGAUAGAACAAGGGCCUCCUAAGCCUUAGAUGGAUAUGGGUUCAAAUCCCCCUCGGUGCGCCA